RNAcentral lists this ribosomal RNA (648 nucleotides) under Escherichia coli. Its description in RNAcentral is "partial 23S ribosomal RNA". It matches the Rfam family "Bacterial large subunit ribosomal RNA", at positions 695 to 1339 of the family's 2925-position model. Lineage: Bacteria; Pseudomonadati; Pseudomonadota; Gammaproteobacteria; Enterobacterales; Enterobacteriaceae. The record is from RNAcentral.
UUAAGUUGCAGGGUAUAGACCCGAAACCCGGUGAUCUAGCCAUGGGCAGGUUGAAGGUUGGGUAACACUAACUGGAGGACCGAACCGACUAAUGUUGAAAAAUUAGCGGAUGACUUGUGGCUGGGGGUGAAAGGCCAAUCAAACCGGGAGAUAGCUGGUUCUCCCCGAAAGCUAUUUAGGUAGCGCCUCGUGAAUUCAUCUCCGGGGGUAGAGCACUGUUUCGGCAAGGGGGUCAUCCCGACUUACCAACCCGAUGCAAACUGCGAAUACCGGAGAAUGUUAUCACGGGAGACACACGGCGGGUGCUAACGUCCGUCGUGAAGAGGGAAACAACCCAGACCGCCAGCUAAGGUCCCAAAGUCAUGGUUAAGUGGGAAACGAUGUGGGAAGGCCCAGACAGCCAGGAUGUUGGCUUAGAAGCAGCCAUCAUUUAAAGAAAGCGUAAUAGCUCACUGGUCGAGUCGGCCUGCGCGGAAGAUGUAACGGGGCUAAACCAUGCACCGAAGCUGCGGCAGCGACGCUUAUGCGUUGUUGGGUAGGGGAGCGUUCUGUAAGCCUGCGAAGGUGUGCUGUGAGGCAUGCUGGAGGUAUCAGAAGUGCGAAUGCUGACAUAAGUAACGAUAAAGCGGGUGAAAAGCCCGCUCGCCG